Molecule: ribosomal RNA, 253 nt
Filed under: uncultured bacterium
Lineage: Bacteria
Description: partial 16S ribosomal RNA
Rfam family: Bacterial small subunit ribosomal RNA
Source: RNAcentral
UACGAAGGUCCCAAGCGUUGUUCGGAAUCACUGGGCGUAAAGGGCGCGUAGGCGGCGUGGUAAGUCAGAUGUGAAAUCCCGGGGCUCAACCCCGGAACUGCAUCCGAUACUGCCAUGCUAGAGGAUUGGAGAGGUAGCUGGAAUUCUUGGUGUAGCAGUGAAACGCGUAGAGAUCAAGAGGAACACUCGUGGCGAAAGCGAGCUACUGGACAAUUCCUGACGCUGAGGCUCGAAGGCUAGGGUAGCGAAAGGG